This 471-nucleotide ribosomal RNA is filed under the name Veillonella dispar. RNAcentral describes it as "bacterial SSU rRNA". It matches the Rfam family "Bacterial small subunit ribosomal RNA", at positions 28 to 476 of the family's 1533-position model. Lineage: Bacteria; Bacillati; Bacillota; Negativicutes; Veillonellales; Veillonellaceae. The record is from RNAcentral.
GACGAACGCUGGCGGCGUGCUUAACACAUGCAAGUCGAACGAAGAGCGAUGGAAGCUUGCUUCUAUCAAUCUUAGUGGCGAACGGGUGAGUAACGCGUAAUCAACCUGCCCUUCAGAGGGGGACAACAGUUGGAAACGACUGCUAAUACCGCAUACGAUCUAAUCUCGGCAUCGAGGAAAGAUGAAAGGUGGCCUCUAUUUAUAAGCUAUCACUGAAGGAGGGGAUUGCGUCUGAUUAGCUAGUUGGAGGGGUAACGGCCCACCAAGGCGAUGAUCAGUAGCCGGUCUGAGAGGAUGAACGGCCACAUUGGGACUGAGACACGGCCCAGACUCCUACGGGAGGCAGCAGUGGGGAAUCUUCCGCAAUGGACGAAAGUCUGACGGAGCAACGCCGCGUGAGUGAUGACGGCCUUCGGGUUGUAAAGCUCUGUUGAUCGGGACGAAAGGCCUUCUUGCGAACAGUUAGAAGGA